Molecule: unclassified non-coding RNA, 288 nt
Filed under: fungal sp.
Lineage: Eukaryota; Fungi
Description: partial internal transcribed spacer region
Rfam family: Eukaryotic small subunit ribosomal RNA (bases 1-46)
Source: RNAcentral
AAGUCGUAACAAGGUUUCCGUAGGUGAACCUGCGGAAGGAUCAUUAACACAAUUUACUGUGACAAAUCCGUUGAAUUCUCGAAUUCAAUGGUAUCCACCCCAUUAUUGACGAACUUUUCUAGAUGUUAAAACUAAAAACGUAGAGCUAGUCUUUAUAUUUUUAACAUUCUAAAACUUUUCUAUACCCACACAUUUAAACCCCUUUUACAACAUGUCUUAGACUGAAACGAAAAUUUUCUAUCAAAAAAUUGAUAAAAACAACUUUUAACAACGGAUAUCUUGGCUCUC